This 71-nucleotide transfer RNA is filed under the name Camelus bactrianus (Bactrian camel). It matches the Rfam family "tRNA". Rfam says of the family: Transfer RNA (tRNA) molecules are approximately 80 nucleotides in length. Their secondary structure includes four short double-helical elements and three loops (D, anti-codon, and T loops). The record is from Rfam by way of RNAcentral. RNAcentral also lists the same sequence under 2 other names. Lineage: Eukaryota; Metazoa; Chordata; Mammalia; Artiodactyla; Camelidae.
GAGGGUAUAGCUCAAUGGGAGAGUGUGUGCUUAGCAGCAUGAGGUCUUGGGUUCAAUCCUCAGUACCUCCA